GAAAGCCAUAUUUGAUGAAAGUCAUAUGUAUGGCUUGAAGGGAGGUUUUUCAUAUCUUUCAAGAUUCACCCUAC
Non-coding RNA from Populus trichocarpa (black cottonwood), 74 nucleotides. Lineage: Eukaryota; Viridiplantae; Streptophyta; Magnoliopsida; Malpighiales; Salicaceae. The record is from Rfam.